Molecule: unclassified non-coding RNA, 1576 nt
Filed under: Hevea brasiliensis (rubber tree)
Lineage: Eukaryota; Viridiplantae; Streptophyta; Magnoliopsida; Malpighiales; Euphorbiaceae
Source: RNAcentral
GGAGAGAAAAUUACUGAAUUAUAUUAGCAGUAUAUGGUUGGUAGUGUAUGAAAUAGCAAACAUAAUAAAAUAGCUACUAGUAAUUGCCUCCAAGAAGCAUAAUAAAAUUGCUAACAUUAACAACUAUUUAAUUUUCACUCCUGAAGAUGGAGACCUUCAGAAUUAAUUUGCUCCUGUCAAUCAGCUCAAAUAUGCAAACAUCGUCCUCUUUUAGAAAAUUUUCCUUUGCAAAUCGAAUCCAUCCACCAGUGAGUCUGCUACCCGAGUAUGUUAACAUGGCAUUCCAUGAUCUAUCUUCAACCUGAAGAGUAAUAGUAUUCUUUUCCCAGUGCUUCGAAUGCAUUCUUGCAAAUCUUGUCGGUAUAUGCAAAUAUAGAUACAGAUAAGAUGCCUUCAUAACUACUUUGAAGAAUGGAUUCUUUGAGACAAAUUUUCGGGCAGAUUCACUGGUUAUACGAAUACUCGAACUUGGAGUUGUCUUCUCAUGUGUCUUCUGCUCCUUACCUAAUGAAGAGUCAGAAGGUCUAUCUUCAGCAACUCUAAAAAUAUGAACUUUAAAACUAAUCUCAGCACCUUUGGCCGGGAUCAAUUCAAAGACACAUACAUCGUCAAUUUCCAAGUGAUUGUCUUUUGCAAAAGUUCUCCAACCUGACUUCAGUUUUACUCUUGUUCGGCCUUCCUCCUUAGCAUACUUGAUCGGCCAAAUUUUCCCACCAAAAACAAAGUGCAUCACAGAACCUUCACCGUUAAGCAAAUAUUUCCUGGAAAACGUUUCUGGUAGAUUCAUUUUAUUCCCAGCAGGAGGGACAUAUGAAGGUCGCAUAUUUAUCACCAUAAGUGGAUUUUUGGAUUUGAAAGCUGUAGCUCUCUGAAAAGUUUUCUCAUUUUUAGGUCUUCGCAAUGGUUGCUCCCUUUCCUGACCACUUUUUGUUGGAUUAGGAAAAUCAACAUCCAUGGCUUCAGCAGAGAAGCCAUCUUCUGUUUCCUCCCUUUUGGGCUCUUGAAAUUUGAAAUCCAUGUUCCUGAGCGGAUAAUCAAUCUCUGUUGCAGUUUUACUAAAUAUGACUACAGAGAACUGGGAAUUCCCCUCAUACGUAAAAAGCAGCAAAUGUGCUAAUUUCACAGAGUAAUAAUCUACAAAUUCUUGCCAACCUUCACUCAACCAAACAUCACAGCAAACAUAACAACCCUUAAACAACUCUAUUUUCCAUGAGGCACCAUCUGGGAGCUUAAGGAUUGCUUGGUUUGAUAGUGCAUUUCCAUAUUUUUUCACAAAACUUCUGGGGAUCUCAAGUUUCUUAUCUCUUACAGUGUCCUCAAGUAUUAUCUUGAAGAAACGGAUUUUCUUCGGUUGAAGCAAGGAACUCUCGUGUAUUUGGGAACAAAAAGCCGCCAUGUGAAAGUGAAACGCACUGAACAAUUUACAACUAGUUCAUGGCACUAGCUCAAAGCGAGAAAGUGAAACACAACGAUAGCUUCGACGGUCAAUGAUGGACUGGAAGGUGAGUCUCUGGCAGCAAAGAAUUUGUACUUUGGAGUUUGAGAACGAAAUCUCCUUUGCCCUCUGGACUCUGAA